This 556-nucleotide ribosomal RNA is filed under the name uncultured fungus. Its description in RNAcentral is "SSU rRNA". It matches the Rfam family "Eukaryotic small subunit ribosomal RNA", at positions 194 to 755 of the family's 1831-position model. Lineage: Eukaryota; Fungi. The record is from RNAcentral.
GGAAGGGGUGUAUUUAUUAGAUAAAAAACCAAUGCCCUUUGGGCUCCUUGGUGAUUCAUAAUAACUUAACGAAUCGCAUGGCCUUGCGCCGGCGAUGGUUCAUUCAAAUUUCUGCCCUAUCAACUUUCGAUGGUACGGUAGUGGCCUACCAUGGUCUCAACGGGUAACGGGGAAUUAGGGUUCUAUUCCGGAGAGGGAGCCUGAGAAACGGCUACCACAUCCAAGGAAGGCAGCAGGCGCGCAAAUUACCCAAUCCCAAUUCGGGGAGGUAGUGACAAUAAAUACUGAUACGGGGCUCUUUUGGGUCUCGUAAUUGGAAUGAGUACAAUCUAAAUCCCUUAACGAGGAACAAUUGGAGGGCAAGUCUGGUGCCAGCAGCCGCGGUAAUUCCAGCUCCAAUAGCGUAUAUUAAAGUUGUUGCCGUUAAAAAGCUCGUAGUUGAACCUUGGGUCUGGCUGAUCUGUCCUCCUAAUCGAGCGCACGGAUUCGGUCGGACCUUUCCUUCUGGGGAACCGCAUGCCCUUCACUGGGCGUGUCGGGGAACCAGGACUUUUAC